GAUGAACGCUGGCGGCGUGCCUAAUACAUGCAAGUCGAACGAAACUUCUUUAUCACCGAGUGCUUGCGCUCACCGAUAAAGAGUUGAGUGGCGAACGGGUGAGUAACACGUGGGCAACCUGCCCAAAAGAGGGGGAUAACACUUGGAAACAGGUGCUAAUACCGCAUAACCAUAGUUACCGCAUGGUAACUAUGUAAAAGGUGGCUAUACUACCGCUUUUGGAUGGGCCCGCGGCGCAUUAGCUAGUUGGUAGGGUAAAGGCUUACCAAGGCAAUGAUGCGUAGCCGAAUUGAGAGGUUGAUCGGCCACAUUGGGACUGAGACACGGCCCUAACUCCGACGGGAGGCAGCAGUAGGGAAUCUUCCACAAUGGGCGAAAGCCUGAUGGAGCAACGCCGCGUGGGUGAAGAAGGUCUUCGGAUCGUAAAACCCUGUUGUUAGAGAAGAAAGUGCGUGAGAGUAACUGUUCACGUUUCGACGGUAUCUAACCAGAAAGCCACGGCUAACUACGUG
This 512-nucleotide ribosomal RNA is filed under the name uncultured bacterium. RNAcentral describes it as "partial 16S ribosomal RNA". It matches the Rfam family "Bacterial small subunit ribosomal RNA", at positions 28 to 507 of the family's 1533-position model. The record is from RNAcentral.